UAGGGAAUCUUCCACAAUGGGCGCAAGCCUGAUGGAGCAACACCGCGUGAGUGAAGAAGGGUUUCGGCUCGUAAAGCUCUGUUGUUAAAGAAGAACACGUAUGAGAGUAACUGUUCAUACGUUGACGGUAUUUAACCAGAAAGUCACGGCUAACUACGUGCCAGCAGCCGCGGUAAUACGUAGGUGGCAAGCGUUAUCCGGAUUUAUUGGGCGUAAAGAGAGUGCAGGCGGUUUUCUAAGUCUGAUGUGAAAGCCUUCGGCUUAACCGGAGAAGUGCAUCGGAAACUGGAUAACUUGAGUUCAGAAGAGGGUAGUGGAACUCCAUGUGUAGCGGUGGAAUGCGUAGAUAUAUGGAAGAACACCAGUGGCGAAGGCGGCUACCUGGUCUGCAACUGACGCUGAGACUCGAAAGCAUGGGUAGCGAACAGG
This 429-nucleotide ribosomal RNA is filed under the name bacterium. Its description in RNAcentral is "partial 16S ribosomal RNA". It matches the Rfam family "Bacterial small subunit ribosomal RNA", at positions 355 to 776 of the family's 1533-position model. The record is from RNAcentral.